This 428-nucleotide ribosomal RNA is filed under the name uncultured archaeon. Its description in RNAcentral is "bacterial SSU rRNA". It matches the Rfam family "Archaeal small subunit ribosomal RNA", at positions 474 to 903 of the family's 1478-position model. The record is from RNAcentral.
UACCUGCAGCUCGAGUGGUAACCGCUAUUAUUGGGCCUAAAGCGUCCGUAGCCGGUUUGGUAGAUAUCUGGGUAAAUCGUGAGGCUUAACUUCACGAAUUUCGGAUAGACUGCCAGACUUGGGAUCGGGGGAGGUCAGAGGUACUCCAGGGGUAGCGGUGAAAUGUUGUAAUCCUUGGAGGACCACCGGUAGCGAAGGCGUCUGACUAGAACGAGUCCGACGGUGAGGGACGAAGCCCUGGGGCGCAAACCGGAUUAGAUACCCGGGUAGUCCAGGGUGUAAACUAUGUGGGCUUUGUAUUGGAGGUCCCACGUGGGCGUCCAGUGCAGAAGAGAAGUUGUUAAGCCCACCGCCUGGGAAGUACGGUCGCAAGGCUGAAACUUAAAGGAAUUGGCGGGGAGCACAGCAACGGGAGGAGCGUGCGGUUU